Molecule: ribosomal RNA, 414 nt
Filed under: uncultured bacterium
Lineage: Bacteria
Description: bacterial SSU rRNA
Rfam family: Bacterial small subunit ribosomal RNA
Source: RNAcentral
AGAGUUUGAUCCUGGCUCAGAUUGAACGCUGGCGGCAUGCCUUACACAUGCAAGUCGAACGGCAGCACGGGAGCUUGCUCCUGGUGGCGAGUGGCGAACGGGUGAGUAAUACAUCGGAACGUACCCAGGAGUGGGGGAUAACGUAGCGAAAGUUACGCUAAUACCGCAUAUUCUGUGAGCAGGAAAGCGGGGGAUCGCAAGACCUCGCGCUCUUGGAGCGGCCGAUGUCGGAUUAGCUAGUUGGUGAGGUAAAAGCUCACCAAGGCGACGAUCCGUAGCAGGUCUGAGAGGAUGAUCUGCCACACUGGGACUGAGACACGGCCCAGACUCCUACGGGAGGCAGCAGUGGGGAAUUUUGGACAAUGGGGGCAACCCUGAUCCAGCCAUGCCGCGUGAGUGAAGAAGGCCUUCGGG